UACGGGGGGAGCAAGCGUUGUUCGGAUUUACUGGGCGUAAAGGGCGUGCAGGCGGCUUGUUAAGUGCAGGGUGAAAGCUCCCGGCUCAACUGGGAGAGGUUCUUGCAUACUGGCGAGCUCGAGGGAGGCAGAGGAAAGUGGAAUUCCCGGUGUAGUGGUGAUAUGCGUAGAUAUCGGGAGGAACACCUGUGGCGAAGGCGGCUUUCUGGGCCUUACCUGACGCUGAGACGCGAAAGCGUGGGGAGCGAACCGG
Molecule: ribosomal RNA, 253 nt
Filed under: uncultured bacterium
Lineage: Bacteria
Description: partial 16S ribosomal RNA
Rfam family: Bacterial small subunit ribosomal RNA
Source: RNAcentral